UUGAACGCUGGCGGCAGGCCUAACACAUGCAAGUCGAGCGGAUGAGUGGAGCUUGCUCCAUGAUUCAGCGGCGGACGGGUGAGUAAUGCCUAGGAAUCUGCCUGGUAGUGGGGGACAACGUUUCGAAAGGAACGCUAAUACCGCAUACGUCCUACGGGAGAAAGCAGGGGACCUUCGGGCCUUGCGCUAUCAGAUGAGCCUAGGUCGGAUUAGCUAGUUGGUGAGGUAAUGGCUCACCAAGGCGACGAUCCGUAACUGGUCUGAGAGGAUGAUCAGUCACACUGGAACUGAGACACGGUCCAGACUCCUACGGGAGGCAGCAGUGGGGAAUAUUGGACAAUGGGCGAAAGCCUGAUCCAGCCAUGCCGCGUGUGUGAAGAAGGUCUUCGGAUUGUAAAGCACUUUAAGUUGGGAGGAAGGGCAGUAAGCUAAUAUCUUGCUGUUUUGACGUUACCGACAGAAUAAGCACCGGCUAACUUCGUGCCAGCAGCCGCGGUAAUACGAAGGGUGCAAGCGUUAAUCGGAAUUACUGGGCGUAAAGCGCGCGUAGGUGGUUUGUUAAGUUGGAUGUGAAAGCCCCGGGCUCAACCUGGGAACUGCAUCCAAAACUGGCAAGCUAGAGUAUGGCAGAGGGUGGUGGAAUUUCCUGUGUAGCGGUGAAAUGCGUAGAUAUAGGAAGGAACACCAGUGGCGAAGGCGACCACCUGGGCUAAUACUGACACUGAGGUGCGAAAGCGUGGGGAGCAAA
This 748-nucleotide ribosomal RNA is filed under the name Pseudomonas sp. 'Pseudom. M1'. RNAcentral's name for it is "bacterial SSU rRNA". It matches the Rfam family "Bacterial small subunit ribosomal RNA", at positions 29 to 772 of the family's 1533-position model. Lineage: Bacteria; Pseudomonadati; Pseudomonadota; Gammaproteobacteria; Pseudomonadales; Pseudomonadaceae. The record is from RNAcentral.